RNAcentral lists this ribosomal RNA (378 nucleotides) under uncultured organism. RNAcentral describes it as "partial 16S ribosomal RNA". It matches the Rfam family "Bacterial small subunit ribosomal RNA", at positions 527 to 896 of the family's 1533-position model. The record is from RNAcentral.
GUAGGUGGCAAGCGUUGUCCGGAAUUAUUGGGCGUAAAGCGCGCGCAGGUGGUUCUUUAAGUCCGAUGUGAAAGCCCCCGGCUCAACCGGGGAGGGUCAUUGGAAACUGGGGAACUUGAGUGCAGGAGAGGAAAGUGGAAUUCCACGUGUAGCGGUGAAAUGCGUAGAUAUGUGGAGGAACACCAGUGGCGAAGGCGACUUUCUGGCCUGUAACUGACACUGAGGCGCGAAAGCGUGGGGAGCAAACAGGAUUAGAUACCCUGGUAGUCCACGCCGUAAACGAUGAGUGCUAAGUGUUGGGGGGGGUUUUCCCGCCCCCCUCGAGUGCUGCAGCUAACGCAUUAAGCACUCCGCCUGGGGACGUACGGUCGCAAGCUG